Molecule: ribosomal RNA, 406 nt
Filed under: uncultured bacterium
Lineage: Bacteria
Description: partial 16S ribosomal RNA
Rfam family: Bacterial small subunit ribosomal RNA
Source: RNAcentral
AUUGCACGCUGGCGGCAGGCCUAACACAUGCAAGUCGAGCGAGCGGCUGACGGGUGAGUAAUGUCUGGGAAACUGCCUGAUGGAGGGGGAUAACUACUGGAAACGGUAGAUAAUACCGCAUAACAUCAGAUGUGCCCAGAUGGGAUUCGCUAGGAGGUGGGGUAACGGCUCACCUAGGCGACGAUCCCUAGCUGGUCUGAGAGGAUGACCAACCACCCUGGAACUGAGACACGGUCCAGACUCCUACGGGAGGCAGCAGUGGUGAAUAUUUCACAAUGGGCUCAAGCCUGAUGCAGCCAUGCCGCGUGUGUGAAGAAGGCCUUCGGGUUGUAAAGCACUUUCAGCGGGGAGGCGUUACCCGCAGAAGAAGCACCGGCUAACUCCGGGCCAGCAGCCGCGGUAAUAC